Molecule: non-coding RNA, 737 nt
Filed under: Nembrotha kubaryana
Lineage: Eukaryota; Metazoa; Mollusca; Gastropoda; Nudibranchia; Polyceridae
Source: RNAcentral
UAAACUUUGUAAUGAUUAAAAAUUAGCAAAGGUAAAACUUACAGCAUGGUAAUUUUAGUAAAAAAGAUAUAAUGAAUAAAUCUACUUCUUCAUAACCCAGCAAGAAACAUUAAACUAUGCUAGAAAUAGUAAUUUAAUUUAGCCUUAUUAGCUGGACUAACUAGGUGCCAGCAGUCGCGGUCACACCUGGCAGCUAAGUUAAUUAAAUUAGGUAAGCUAAAAGAAAGAACUUUUAUAAUCAGGUGAAAUCGUUAUAAAAAGUAAUGUUGUUCUCUUAAUAAUUUUGCUCAAGCUCUCAAGAUAAACUAGGAUUAGAUACCCUACUAUAUAGAGUAUAAAUUUCAGACCUAAGCACUAAGACUAAAAAGUUAAAACUUAAAUUACAUGGCGGCAGUUAGAAAUUUCAGGGGAACUUGCCAAAUAAAUGAUAACCCCCAAAAAACACUACUUAUGUCCGAAGCUUGUAUAUCGCCGUCUUCAGUACUCAUUUAAGAUGACUUCUAAAUGUUAUAAAACAAAAAGACAGGUUAGAUGCAGCCUAUAUAUAAGUUUAGGUGAGUUACAAUAAUUAAUUUAUUUGAAUUUAUUUUGAAAUAAAAUAAUGAAAAUGGACUUGAAAGUAAAAAUUAUAAUAAACCUUAAUUGAAUUUUAAAUCUAAUUGUGCACAAAUCGCCCGUCGCUUUCGUUGAAAAAUGAAAUAAGUCGUAACAAAGUAGGUGUACCGGAAGGUGCACCU